RNAcentral lists this long non-coding RNA (465 nucleotides) under Ananas comosus (pineapple). RNAcentral describes it as "long non-coding RNA (ACOM_LNC017361)". The record is from RNAcentral. Lineage: Eukaryota; Viridiplantae; Streptophyta; Magnoliopsida; Poales; Bromeliaceae.
AUUUUCGAUAUCAAAAUUUGAAAUUUUGAUACUUUCAAAUUUCAAAGUUUUAAUUUCCAAAUUUUAUAUUCCAAAUUUUAAAUUACAAAUUUUAAAUUUUAAUUUAUAAUAUUUAUUUUAAAUUUUAAACUUCAAAAUUUAAAAUUUGAAAUCCCUAAACUCUUUUUAUUUAAAUAAAAUUAACUAUUAAAUUAUUUUUAUAUAACUUUAUUUAAUUAAUAAUUAGACAUAAAAUUAUAUAAAAAAUAAAAAACUAAAGGUUAUUAUAAAAAUAUUUUUAUAUCCGCAGCAUCGCUAUUAAAUUAUUUUCAUAUAACUUUAUUUAAUUAAUAAUUAGACUUAUAAAAUUAUAUAAAAAAUAAAAAACUAAAAAUUAUUAUAAAAAUAUUUUUAUAUCCGCAGCAUCGCGCGGGUAUUUCACUAGUAUAAUACUGAAGCUGAACAUGAACAACCACUGCCACAAAU